AGAGUUUGAUCCUGGCUCAGAUUGAACGCUGGCGGCAUGCUUUACACAUGCAAGUCGAACGGCAGCGCGGGCUUCCGCCUGCUCUCGAUUGGCAAUGGGGUGAGGAAGACGUCUAAACGUGACUCGUAGUGUUGGAGAGCCAGGCUAAAGCCGGAUUAAUACCGCUUACGACUUGAAGCUGAAAGCGGAGGACCGAAAGGCUUCGCGCUAGUGCAGCGAUCUACGUCGGAGUAGCUUUAUGGUGGGGUAAAGGCCUACGAAGGCGACGAUCCCUAUCUGGUCUGAGACGACGACCAUCCACACUGGCACUGAAACUCAGCCCAGACUCCUACUCGAGGCAGCAGUGGGGAAGUUUGGACUAUGGGGGCGACCCUGAUCCAGCUAUGCCGCGUGCGCGAGGAAGGCCUUCGGGUUGUAAACCGCUUUUGCUUUGGAAGAAAUCCUCUGGGCUAAUAUCCCGGGCUGAUGACUCUACCUGAACAAUAAGCACCGGCUACCUACAUGUCAGCGCCCGCAGUCAUACGUAUGCUGCGAGCGUUAAUCUUAAUUACUGUUAGUAAAGCUUGCGCAUGCGUAUGUGCAUGACAGAUGCUAAAUCCCCGGGCUUAACCUGAGAACUGCAUUUGUGACUGCUCCGCUACAAUGCGACUGGGGUAAAUGGAAUUCCACGUGUAGCUGUGACAUGCAUAUAUAUACAGAUGAACACCAAUGUCCAUGGCAACUCCCUCUGCCUGCACUGACGCUCAUGCACAAGAGCGUGAGCAUCAAACAGGAUUAGAUACCCUGAUAGUCCACGCCCUAGACGAUGUCAACUCGUUGUUGAUCCUUCACUGGAUCAGUAACGUA
This 846-nucleotide ribosomal RNA is filed under the name uncultured bacterium. Its description in RNAcentral is "bacterial SSU rRNA". It matches the Rfam family "Bacterial small subunit ribosomal RNA", at positions 8 to 850 of the family's 1533-position model. The record is from RNAcentral.